RNAcentral lists this transfer RNA (72 nucleotides) under Ovis aries (sheep). It matches the Rfam family "tRNA". Rfam says of the family: Transfer RNA (tRNA) molecules are approximately 80 nucleotides in length. Their secondary structure includes four short double-helical elements and three loops (D, anti-codon, and T loops). Further hydrogen bonds mediate the characteristic L-shaped molecular structure. tRNAs have two regions of fundamental functional importance: the anti-codon, which is responsible for specific mRNA codon recognition, and the 3' end, to which the tRNAs corresponding amino acid is attached (by aminoacyl-tRNA synthetases). tRNAs cope with the degeneracy of the genetic code in two manners: having more than one tRNA (with a specific anti-codon) for a particular amino acid; and 'wobble' base-pairing, i.e. permitting non-standard base-pairing at the 3rd anti-codon position. Lineage: Eukaryota; Metazoa; Chordata; Mammalia; Artiodactyla; Bovidae. The record is from Rfam by way of RNAcentral.
UCUCUUGUGGCUUAGCUGGUAAAGAAUCCACCUGCAAUGUGGAAGACUUAGGUUCAAUCCCUGGGUUGGGAA